UCGGACGGCCAAAGUGGCCAGGUUCCACCCGUUCCCAUUUCGAACACGGAAGUUAAACUGGCCGACGUAUCGGGGUGUACUGCGUUUUUGCGCGGGAAACCCGAUUCGCUGUCCACC
RNAcentral lists this ribosomal RNA (117 nucleotides) under Candidatus Woesearchaeota archaeon. Lineage: Archaea; Nanobdellati; Candidatus Woesearchaeota. The record is from RNAcentral.